AGCGAACGCUGGCGGCAGGCCUAACACAUGCAAGUCGAACGAACUCUCCGGAGUUAGUGGCGGACGGGUGAGUAACACGUGGGAACGUGCCUUUAGGUUCGGAAUAACUCAGGGAAACUUGUGCUAAUACCGAAUGUGCCCUUCGGGGGAAAGAUUUAUCGCCUUUAGAGCGGCCCGCGUCUGAUUAGCUAGUUGGUGAGGUAAAGGCUCACCAAGGCGACGAUCAGUAGCUGGUCUGAGAGGAUGAUCAGCCACAUUGGGGCUGAGACACGGCCCAAACUCCUACGGGAGGCAGCAGUGGGGAAUCUUGCGCAAUGGGCGAAAGCCUGACGCAGCCAUGCCGCGUGAAUGAUGAAGGUCUUAGGAUUGUAAAAUUCUUUCACCGGGGACGAUAAUGACGGUACCCGGAGAAGAAGCCCCGGCUAACUUCGUGCCAGCCGCCGCGGUAA
RNAcentral lists this ribosomal RNA (449 nucleotides) under uncultured bacterium. RNAcentral's name for it is "partial 16S ribosomal RNA". It matches the Rfam family "Bacterial small subunit ribosomal RNA", at positions 29 to 523 of the family's 1533-position model. The record is from RNAcentral.